GGGAAUCUUCGGCAAUGGGCGAAAGCCUGACCGAGCAACGCCGCGUGAAUGAAGAAGGCCUUCGGGUUGUAAAAUUCUGUUAUAAGGGAAGAAAGGUGAUAGGAGGAAAUGACUAUCAAUUGACGGUACCUUAUGAGAAAGCCACGGCUAACUACGUGCCAGCAGCCGCGGUAAUACGUAGGUGGCAAGCGUUAUCCGGAAUUAUUGGGCGUAAAGAGCGCGCAGGUGGUCCUGCAAGUCUGGAGUGAAACGCAUGAGCUCAACUCAUGCAUGGCUUUGGAAACUGGAGGACUGGAGAGCAGGAGAGGGCGGUGGAACUCCAUGUGUAGCGGUAAAAUGCGUAGAUAUAUGGAAGAACACCAGUGGCGAAGGCGGCCGCCUGGCCUGUUGCUGACGCUGAGGCACGAAAGCGUGGGGAGCAAAUAGG
RNAcentral lists this ribosomal RNA (427 nucleotides) under uncultured bacterium. RNAcentral describes it as "bacterial SSU rRNA". It matches the Rfam family "Bacterial small subunit ribosomal RNA", at positions 357 to 776 of the family's 1533-position model. The record is from RNAcentral.